GCGGUUGUGGCCGAGUGGUGAGGCCCCUGGUCGCCAGCCAGGUGAACGCGGGUUCGAACCCCGCCGACCGCU
RNAcentral lists this transfer RNA (72 nucleotides) under Comamonas sp. KCTC 72670. RNAcentral describes it as "tRNA-Gly". It matches the Rfam family "tRNA". From Rfam's summary of the family: Transfer RNA (tRNA) molecules are approximately 80 nucleotides in length. RNAcentral also lists the same sequence under 2 other names. Lineage: Bacteria; Pseudomonadati; Pseudomonadota; Betaproteobacteria; Burkholderiales; Comamonadaceae. The record is from RNAcentral.